UGUGAGAACACUGGGGCUGGAAGCAGGGGAGAGGAGUGUGUGUCUCAGGAAGCUGCAGGCCAUCCUGCCCUCUGGGGCCGCAGGCUCACUACUGGGACAUGCAUGGUUCGCUCUUCCCUGACCAAGUGUCGUCUGGAGACCCUGUGUGCCAAUCCAGCAGCUAAGAGGGUCCCUGGAGGACGUGGACCCCAGCUCUCCCCUGUCCCACUGCAGCGGUUCCAGUCUCACAACUCCACAACUGAAAUGUCUGCCUGAUCAGUGGCUCUUCCCCAUCUAAAGGGACCCCACCUGGGUUCAUCUGCCUACCCUCAUCCCCAGGGCAGCACGGCCAUUUACCAGAUUCCUUCAGAGUCUAUGGAGCUCGCUGCCUAGUGCAAGGCACCACCUGACAGCUCACAGCCUGCCCUGCCCCUCCCGAUGCCCCUGUUUGAUCUCUCUUUCCCCGCCUCCGUCUCCCGGGUCCUCCCUCUGUCCCUCUGUUGUCUCCAUAAGCAGCUCUCGCUGUGACCCUC
Molecule: long non-coding RNA, 512 nt
Filed under: Fukomys damarensis (Damara mole-rat)
Lineage: Eukaryota; Metazoa; Chordata; Mammalia; Rodentia; Bathyergidae
Description: lncRNA (ENSFDAG00000030557.1)
Source: RNAcentral